GCCCUCGUAACUCAGUUUGGACAGACCGACGAUGCGCAGCAUCGUAUUUGGUCUAUAGUGCCAGCCUUCUAAGCUGGAAGUCGCGCGUUCAAAUCGCGCCGGGGGCG
This 107-nucleotide transfer RNA is filed under the name Candidatus Aenigmatarchaeota archaeon. RNAcentral's name for it is "tRNA-Arg". It matches the Rfam family "tRNA". From Rfam's summary of the family: Transfer RNA (tRNA) molecules are approximately 80 nucleotides in length. Their secondary structure includes four short double-helical elements and three loops (D, anti-codon, and T loops). Lineage: Archaea; Nanobdellati; Candidatus Aenigmatarchaeota. The record is from RNAcentral.